Molecule: ribosomal RNA, 713 nt
Filed under: uncultured Acidobacteriaceae bacterium
Lineage: Bacteria; Pseudomonadati; Acidobacteriota; Terriglobia; Terriglobales; Acidobacteriaceae
Description: bacterial SSU rRNA
Rfam family: Bacterial small subunit ribosomal RNA
Source: RNAcentral
UUCGGGAAUUUUGGGCAAUUGGGCGAGAGCCUGACCCAGCAAACGCCGCGUGAAGGAUGAAAUCCCUCGGGAUGUAAAUUUCGCAAGAACGGGAAGAAUAAGUAGGGGACAAUACCCCCUAUGAUGACGGUACCGUUUGUAAGCUCCGGCUAACUCCGUGCCAGCAGCCGCGGUAAUACGGGGGGAGCAAGCGUUGUUCGGAUUUACUGGGCGUAAAGGGCGCGUAGGCGGUCAGCACAAGUCAGUUGUGAAAUCUCCGAGCUUAACUCGGAAAGGUCAACUGAAACUGUGCGACUAGAGUGCGGAAGGGGCAACUGGAAUUCUUGGUGUAGCGGUGAAAUGCGUAGAUAUCAAGAGGAACACCUGCGGCGAAGGCGGGUUGCUGGGCCGACACUGACGCUGAAGCGCGAAAGCCAGGGGAGCGAACGGGAUUAGAUACCCCGGUAGUCCUGGCCCUAAACGAUGAAUGCUUGGUGUGACGGGUAUCGAUCCCUGUCGUGCCGAAGCUAACGCAUUAAGCAUUCCGCCUGGGGAGUACGGUCGCAAGGCUGAAACUCAAAGGAAUUGACGGGGGCCCGCACAAGCGGUGGAGCAUGUGGAUCAAUUCGACGCAACGCGAAGAACCUUACCCAGGCUUGAACAGCGAGUGACCACUCCCGAAAGGGAGCUUCCGCAAGGACACUCGUAGAGGUGCUGCAUGGCUGUCUCAGCUC